This 86-nucleotide ribosomal RNA is filed under the name Clostridium botulinum. The record is from RNAcentral. Lineage: Bacteria; Bacillati; Bacillota; Clostridia; Eubacteriales; Clostridiaceae. RNAcentral also lists the same sequence under 1 other name.
UCUGGUGAUUAUGGCUUGAAGGUAACACCCGUUCCCAUGCCGAACACGAAGGUUAAGCUUCAAAGCGCUGAUGGUACUGCAGGGGA